AAGUCGUAACAAGGUUUCCGUAGGUGAACCUGCGGAAGGAUCAUUAUUGAUUUUUAAAGCAAACCAAGCUUUUUUAAUAAAGUAAGGUUUUGCGAACAUAUUUAAAACCCCACUCUUUUAAAUAAAUUUUCAUUCAUUAUAUAUUAUGAAUAAAAAAAAGAUCACUUUCAACAACGGAUCUCUUGGCUCUC
This 191-nucleotide unclassified non-coding RNA is filed under the name Glomus cubense. Its description in RNAcentral is "partial internal transcribed spacer region". The stretch from base 1 to 46 matches the Rfam family "Eukaryotic small subunit ribosomal RNA", at positions 1786 to 1831 of the family's 1831-position model. RNAcentral also lists the same sequence under 1 other name. The record is from RNAcentral. Lineage: Eukaryota; Fungi; Glomeromycota; Glomeromycetes; Glomerales; Glomeraceae.